RNAcentral lists this ribosomal RNA (968 nucleotides) under Inocybe sp. Its description in RNAcentral is "partial large subunit ribosomal RNA". It matches the Rfam family "Eukaryotic large subunit ribosomal RNA", at positions 35 to 987 of the family's 3401-position model. The record is from RNAcentral. Lineage: Eukaryota; Fungi; Basidiomycota; Agaricomycetes; Agaricales; Inocybaceae.
AUAGCAUAUCAAUAAGCGGAGGAAAAGAAACUAACAAGGAUUCCCCUAGUAACUGCGAGUGAAGAGGGAAAAGCUCAAAUUUGUAAUCUGGCGGCCCUUUGGCCCGUCCGAGUUGUAAUCUAGAGAAGUGCUACCUGCGCUGGACCAUGUACAAGUCUCCUGGAAUGGAGCAUCAUAGAGGGUGAGAAUCCCGUCUUUGACAUGGACUGCCAGAGCUUAUAGGUGUGCUCUCAAAGAGUCGAGUUGUUUGGGAAUGCAGCUCAAAAUGGGUGGUAAAUGCCAUCUAAAGCUAAAUAUUGGCGAGAGACCGAUAGCGAACAAGUACCGUGAGGGAAAGAUGAAAAGAACUUUGGAAAGAGAGUUAAACAGUACGUGAAAUUGCUGAAAGGGAAACGCUUGAAGUCAGUCGCAUCGGUCAGAAAUCAACCUUGCUUUUGCUGGGUGUACUUUCCGUCUGAUGGGUCAGCAUCAAUUUUGAUUGCUGGAUAAAGUUCUUGGGAAUGUGGCAUCUUUGGAUGUGUUAUAGCCCUGGGACAUAUGCAGUGGUUGGGAUUGAGGAACUCAGCACGCCGCGAGGCUGGGCUUGUCUACACUACGUGCUUAGGAUGCUGGCAUAAUGGCUUUAAUCGACCCGUCUUGAAACACGGACCAAGGAGUCUAACAUGCUUGCGAGUGUUUGAGUGGAAAACUCAUGCGCGUAAUGAAAGUGAUAGUUGAGAUCCCUGUCAUGGGGAGCAUCGAUGCCCAGACCAGAUCUUUUGUGACGGAUCUGCGGUAGAGCAUGUAUGUUGGGACCCGAAAGAUGGUGAACUAUGCCUGAAUAGGGUGAAGCCAGAGGAAACUCUGGUGGAGGCUCGUAGCGAUUCUGACGUGCAAAUCGAUCGUCAAAUUUGGGUAUAGGGGCGAAAGACUAAUCGAAUCAUCUAGUAGCUGGUUCCUGCCGAGCUUUCUCCUCUAGAGAAUGUUAA